RNAcentral lists this transfer RNA (64 nucleotides) under Chrysomela aeneicollis. RNAcentral describes it as "tRNA-Pro". Lineage: Eukaryota; Metazoa; Arthropoda; Insecta; Coleoptera; Chrysomelidae. The record is from RNAcentral.
CAAGAAUUAGUUUAAUAAAAUAUUAAUUUUGGAGAUUAAAGUUAGAGAGUUUCUUUAUUCUUGA